RNAcentral lists this ribosomal RNA (484 nucleotides) under uncultured bacterium. RNAcentral describes it as "partial 16S ribosomal RNA". It matches the Rfam family "Bacterial small subunit ribosomal RNA", at positions 30 to 507 of the family's 1533-position model. The record is from RNAcentral.
AUUGAACGCUGGCGGCAGGCCUAACACAUGCCAGUCGAGCGGAUGAAGGGAGCUUGCUCCUGGAUUCAGCGGCGGACGGGUGAGUAAUGCCUAGGAAUCUGCCUGGUAGUGGGGGAUAACGUCCGGAAACGGGCGCUAAUACCGCAUACGUCCUGAGGGAGAAAGUGGGUGAUCUUCGGACCUCACGCUAUCAGAUGAGCCUAGGUCGGAUUAGCUAGUUGGUGGGGUAAAGGCCUACCAAGGCGACGAUCCGUAACUGGUCUGAGAGGAUGAUCAGUCACACUGGAACUGAGACACGGUCCAGACUACUACGGGAGGCAGCAGUGGGGAAUAUUGGACCAUGGGCGAAAGCCUGAUCCAGCCAUGCCGCGUGUGUGAAGAAGGUCUUCGGAUUGUAAAGCACUUUAAGUUGGGAGGAAGGGCAGUAAGUUAAUACCUUGCUGUUUUGACGUUACCAACAGAAUAAGCACCGGCUAACUUCGUG